AUAUUUUUGUGCAUAUAAAGAGGUAUCUAAAGAAGGCGUCUGCAUUCUAUGUGUACCAAAAUUUUCUCAAUAUGUUCAGUACCUAUAGAACAUGUUGUAUUUACUUAUUCAAACUGAAAUACAAUGUUUUUACUUAAUUUUGCAUCAAUUUAGGGACCCAAAGCAACUAAUUUAUAUCCUCCUGGUCAGCAAGUGAUACUUUUGAACCAACUGCACCUCUAUUUUUCAGGGUAACCAUUAUGAUUUAAGGAAAAACACACCAUUGACGCAGCCAGCUUUUCAUAAACAGGGGCUAAAUAUUUUAUAGAUUUGUUGUUUUCUAACUUCAAGUCUGACAUAUAUAAUGUGUAGUUUUAGGUUUGAUGACAUUGACGCAUUGAUUUUGAAUGACAAGGUGGAUUGAAGACAGAAUAACAACGCCCAACUUUAUAAUAAAAAAAUCAUUAGAAGAUUUAACUGACCCUUCAGCCCUUGUA
Long non-coding RNA from Hydractinia symbiolongicarpus, 476 nucleotides. RefSeq lists it as uncharacterized. The transcript is spliced from 2 exons. NCBI's taxonomy places the organism in Eukaryota, Metazoa, Cnidaria, Hydrozoa, Anthoathecata, Hydractiniidae. The record is from RefSeq and is a predicted model, not a curated record.